GACAAACACGUGGUUUUGAUAAAGAGAUAAAUUGCGCCGCGGCGUCAUUAGCGACCUCUUUCUUCCUGGUCGCGCUGAUGGAGGUCGUGUGUCGGCGGGCGGAGGCGACCGAACCUCCCCGACGUGUCAGAGCCGGGGGCCUGGACGAGAUCUGAACUGAUGAGAUGAGGUUAUGGGACACGGGACAAACUGAGAACUCUGCUGCGUUGCUUUAGAAGGUGAAACUAAGCUGCAUAAUAUUUCUACUUGAUCACUGUUCAUAGUUGUAGGUCAAUCUCAAACCCUGACUAUAUAUGCAUAUAGUCAAAAUCCCUAUUUUAAAAUAUGUAUUUCUUAAUUGAUUCUAUAAGUGCUCUGCUGAAAUAUUUACAUUUAUGAUGUCAUCAGUUUUAAUUGAGAAGAUCAUGGUGUAUUGGACUUCUAUAAUAGUCAGAUCCAGUCCAAAACACAAUCUUUUUCCCCGAACGUGUAAUUAGAAUUUUCCGAUUUCCAACCAUUUUGCCAAAAGUGAACAUGGUCUUGUGACGAGGUAUGAACUGUAAAAAUCCAUCUGUCGAAUAAAGAUGAAUCUAUUAAA
Long non-coding RNA from Scophthalmus maximus (turbot), 577 nucleotides. RefSeq lists it as uncharacterized. The transcript is spliced from 3 exons. Lineage: Eukaryota; Metazoa; Chordata; Actinopteri; Pleuronectiformes; Scophthalmidae. The record is from RefSeq and is a predicted model, not a curated record.